GCGCGAAAACUUUACAAUGCGGGAAACCGUGAUAAGGGAACUCCGAGUGCCCGUAAAAUCGGGCUGUCCAUCUGUGUAAAUAACAGGUGAAGAAAGGGCCGGGCAAGACCGGUGCCAGCCGCCGCGGUAAUACCGGCGGCUCGAGUGGUGGCCACUAUUACUGGGCUUAAAGCGUUCGUAGCUGGUCUGUUAAGUCUCUGGGGAAAUCUACUGGCUUAACCAAUAGGCGUCUCAGGGAUACUGGCAGACUAGGGACCGGGAGAGGUGAGAGGUACUCCAGGGGUAGGAGUGAAAUCCUGUAAUCCUUGAAGGACCACCAGUGGCGAAGGCGUCUCACCAGAACGGACCUGACGGCAAGGGACGAAAGCUAGGGGCACGAACCGGAUUAGAUACCCGGGUAGUCCUAGCCGUAAACGAUACUCGCUAGGUGUCGGCAACGGUGCGACCGUUGUCGGUGCCGUAGGGAAGCCGUGAAGCGAGCCACCUGGGAAGUACGGCCGCAAGGCUGAAACUUAAAGGAAUUGGCGGGGGAGCGACCACGAACGGGUGAGCUUGCGGUUU
Molecule: ribosomal RNA, 561 nt
Filed under: uncultured Methanomicrobiales archaeon
Lineage: Archaea; Methanobacteriati; Methanobacteriota; Methanomicrobia; Methanomicrobiales
Description: bacterial SSU rRNA
Rfam family: Archaeal small subunit ribosomal RNA
Source: RNAcentral